GACGAACGCUGGCGGCGUGCUUAACACAUGCAAGUCGAACGGAAAGGCCCUGCUUUUGUGGGGUGCUCGAGUGGCGAACGGGUGAGUAACACGUGAGUAACCUGCCCUUGACUUUGGGAUAACUUCAGGAAACUGGGGCUAAUACCGGAUAGGAGCUCCUGCUGCAUGGUGGGGGUUGGAAAGUUUCGGCGGUUGGGGAUGGACUCGCGGCUUAUCAGCUUGUUGGUGGGGUAGUGGCUUACCAAGGCUUUGACGGGUAGCCGGCCUGAGAGGGUGACCGGCCACAUGGGGACUGGUGCCCGCCCCCGCCCCCUACGGGAGGCGGCGGUGGGGAAUUUUGCCCAAGGGGCGGAAGCCUGAUGCAGCACCGCCGCGGGCGGGAUGACGGCCUUCGGGUUGUAAACCGCUUUCGCCUGUGACGAAGCGUGAGUGACGGUAAUGGGUAAAGAAGCCCCGGCUACCUCCG
This 466-nucleotide ribosomal RNA is filed under the name uncultured bacterium. Its description in RNAcentral is "partial 16S ribosomal RNA". It matches the Rfam family "Bacterial small subunit ribosomal RNA", at positions 28 to 505 of the family's 1533-position model. The record is from RNAcentral.